Molecule: transfer RNA, 75 nt
Filed under: Maricaulis maris
Lineage: Bacteria; Pseudomonadati; Pseudomonadota; Alphaproteobacteria; Maricaulales; Maricaulaceae
Also listed under: 25 other names
Description: tRNA-Thr
Rfam family: tRNA
About the family: Transfer RNA (tRNA) molecules are approximately 80 nucleotides in length.
Source: RNAcentral
GCCGCUAUAGCUCAGGGGUAGAGCGUUCCCUUGGUAAGGGAGAGGUCGAGUGUUCAAUUCACUCUAGCGGCACCA